UCAGCUAAAUGUCUGUCGUGGUCUGACUUUUUGACACAAUUUGACAUCAUGUAUUUCGGUUUUUACUUGAAAAAGAGGCAAAAUUUCUGUACCGGUGCCAAAGUCACAACGCCAUGGGCGUGAAUGAUGUUCAAAGGGAUAUGUAGAAUUAUGAAGCUGCAUUCUGGAUCACGUUUAGUACUGGCUGAGGAGCUUGAAGAAGUAGGAACAGGUAGCGGUGACUUGGAACCAUGGAGGAACAAACUAGGAACAGAGCCGGAUUUAAGUCUUUUAUUUGUAUAAUAACAACUUCUCUCAAAGUGUUUACCACAAAGGUAAAAGAUUCAUGUUGGGGUACCUACUUGUAGCAUUAAAAACCUUUUUGGACC
Long non-coding RNA from Zophobas morio, 368 nucleotides. RefSeq lists it as uncharacterized. The transcript is spliced from 3 exons. The record is from RefSeq and is a predicted model, not a curated record. Lineage: Eukaryota; Metazoa; Arthropoda; Insecta; Coleoptera; Tenebrionidae.